RNAcentral lists this long non-coding RNA (240 nucleotides) under Trifolium pratense (red clover). RNAcentral describes it as "long non-coding RNA (TPRA_LNC006533)". Lineage: Eukaryota; Viridiplantae; Streptophyta; Magnoliopsida; Fabales; Fabaceae. The record is from RNAcentral.
GGAGGAGUUAGUCUGUAAUCGUCGGAGCCGCCGUCAAGUGCUAAAGACGGUGCCAUUGAUUGAUUGAUAUUUGACUGUGAAUUGAGUGAAAUGGUUUUGGUGAUGGCUGAUACGUACUGUGAUCACUCGUCAAUUCAAGCGUUUACCAAACAUGAACAUUCUCUCAAUUAAUUAAUUAGUAAUUAAUAAAAGAAAGUGAAAAUUACUAAAUUAGGCUUACCAGCUACUACCAGACUUUGG